This 1412-nucleotide ribosomal RNA is filed under the name Escherichia coli. Its description in RNAcentral is "partial 23S ribosomal RNA". It matches the Rfam family "Bacterial large subunit ribosomal RNA", at positions 418 to 1815 of the family's 2925-position model. The record is from RNAcentral. Lineage: Bacteria; Pseudomonadati; Pseudomonadota; Gammaproteobacteria; Enterobacterales; Enterobacteriaceae.
CGGGACACGUGGUAUCCUGUCUGAAUAUGGGGGGACCAUCCUCCAAGGCUAAAUACUCCUGACUGACCGAUAGUGAACCAGUACCGUGAGGGAAAGGCGAAAAGAACCCCGGCGAGGGGAGUGAAAAAGAACCUGAAACCGUGUACGUACAAGCAGUGGGAGCACGCUUAGGCGUGUGACUGCGUACCUUUUGUAUAAUGGGUCAGCGACUUAUAUUCUGUAGCAAGGUUAACCGAAUAGGGGAGCCGAAGGGAAACCGAGUCUUAACUGGGCGUUAAGUUGCAGGGUAUAGACCCGAAACCCGGUGAUCUAGCCAUGGGCAGGUUGAAGGUUGGGUAACACUAACUGGAGGACCGAACCGACUAAUGUUGAAAAAUUAGCGGAUGACUUGUGGCUGGGGGUGAAAGGCCAAUCAAACCGGGAGAUAGCUGGUUCUCCCCGAAAGCUAUUUAGGUAGCGCCUCGUGAAUUCAUCUCCGGGGGUAGAGCACUGUUUCGGCAAGGGGGUCAUCCCGACUUACCAACCCGAUGCAAACUGCGAAUACCGGAGAAUGUUAUCACGGGAGACACACGGCGGGUGCUAACGUCCGUCGUGAAGAGGGAAACAACCCAGACCGCCAGCUAAGGUCCCAAAGUCAUGGUUAAGUGGGAAACGAUGUGGGAAGGCCCAGACAGCCAGGAUGUUGGCUUAGAAGCAGCCAUCAUUUAAAGAAAGCGUAAUAGCUCACUGGUCGAGUCGGCCUGCGCGGAAGAUGUAACGGGGCUAAACCAUGCACCGAAGCUGCGGCAGCGACGCUGAUGCGUUGUUGGGUAGGGGAGCGUUCUGUAAGCCUGUGAAGGUGUGCUGUGAGGCAUGCUGGAGGUAUCAGAAGUGCGAAUGCUGACAUAAGUAACGAUAAAGCGGGUGAAAAGCCCGCUCGCCGGAAGACCAAGGGUUCCUGUCCAACGUUAAUCGGGGCAGGGUGAGUCGACCCCUAAGGCGAGGCCGAAAGGCGUAGUCGAUGGGAAACAGGUUAAUAUUCCUGUACUUGGUGUUACUGCGAAGGGGGGACGGAGAAGGCUAUGUUGGCCGGGCGACGGUUGUCCCGGUUUAAGCGUGUAGGCUGGUUUUCCAGGCAAAUCCGGAAAAUCAAGGCUGAGGCGUGAUGACGAGGCACUACGGUGCUGAAGCAACAAAUGCCCUGCUUCCAGGAAAAGCCUCUAAGCAUCAGGUAACAUCAAAUCGUACCCCAAACCGACACAGGUGGUCAGGUAGAGAAUACCAAGGCGCUUGAGAGAACUCGGGUGAAGGAACUAGGCAAAAUGGUGCCGUAACUUCGGGAGAAGGCACGCUGAUAUGUAGGUGAAGCGACUUGCUCGUGGAGCUGAAAUCAGUCGAAGAUACCAGCUGGCUGCAACUGUUUAUUAAAAACA